Molecule: non-coding RNA, 26 nt
Filed under: Homo sapiens (human)
Lineage: Eukaryota; Metazoa; Chordata; Mammalia; Primates; Hominidae
Source: RNAcentral
UGAUUGAGGAUACUGAAGACUGGCGU